This 329-nucleotide unclassified non-coding RNA is filed under the name soil metagenome. RNAcentral describes it as "partial contains 5.8S ribosomal RNA, internal transcribed spacer 2, and large subunit ribosomal RNA". The stretch from base 1 to 120 matches the Rfam family "5.8S ribosomal RNA", at positions 35 to 154 of the family's 154-position model. The record is from RNAcentral.
GAUGAAGAACGCAGCGAAAUGCGAUAAGUAAUGUGAAUUGCAGAAUUCAGUGAAUCAUCGAAUCUUUGAACGCACAUUGCGCCCCUUGGUAUUCCGAGGGGCAUGCCUGUUCGAGCGUCAUUAUAACCCCUCAAGCUCAGCUUGGUGUUGGGGCCUGCUGCACUGGCAGCCCUUAAAAUCAGUGGCGGCGCCAUCUGGCUCUAAGCGUAGUAAUUCUUCUCGCUAUGGAGUCCUGGUGGAUGCUUGCCAUCAACCCCCAAUUUUUCUAUGGUUGACCUCGGAUCAGGUAGGGCUACCCGCUGAACUUAAGCAUAUCAAUAAGCGGAGGA